CCUACGGGAGGCAGCAGUGGGGAAUAUUGGGCAAUGGAGGCAACUCUGACCCAGCAACGCCGCGUGAGCGAUGAAGGUCUUCGGAUUGUAAAGCUCUAUCAGCAGGGAAGAAAAUGACGGUACCUGACUAAGAAGCCCCUGCUAACUACGUGCCAGCAGCCGCGGUAAUACGUAGGGGGCAAGCGUUAUCCGGAUUUACUGGGGGUAACGGGAGCGUAGACGGCUAAUCAAGUCAGAAGGGAAAACCCAGGGCUCAAAGUUGGGACUGCUUUUGAAACUGAGUAUCUAGAGUGCAGGAGAGGUAAGCGGAAUGCGUAGUGUAGCGGUGAAAUGCGUAGAUAUUAGGAAGAACACCAGUGGCGAAGGCGGCUUACUGGACUGUAACUGACGUUGAGGCUCGAAAGCGUGGGGAGCAAACAGGAUUAGAUACCCUUGUAGUC
This 440-nucleotide ribosomal RNA is filed under the name uncultured bacterium. RNAcentral's name for it is "partial 16S ribosomal RNA". It matches the Rfam family "Bacterial small subunit ribosomal RNA", at positions 338 to 795 of the family's 1533-position model. The record is from RNAcentral.